AUGCAGAUCUUCGUGAAGACCCUGACGGGCAAGACCAUCACGCUGGAGGUGGAGUCCUCGGACACCAUCGACAACGUCAAGGCCAAGAUCCAGGACAAGGAGGGGAUCCCGCCGGACCAGCAGCGUCUCAUCUUCGCCGGCAAGCAGCUCGAGGACGGCCGCACCCUCGCCGACUACAACAUCCAGAAGGAGUCCACCCUCCACCUGGUGCUCCGCCUCCGCGGUGGCGCCAAGAAGCGCAAGAAGAAGACGUACACCAAGCCCAAGAAGCAAAAGCACAAGCACAAGAAGGUGAAGCUCGCCGUCCUCCAGUUCUACAAGGUCGACGACGCCACCGGCAAGGUAACCAGGCUCAGGAAGGAGUGCCCCAACGCCGAUUGCGGCGCCGGGACCUUCAUGGCCAACCACUUUGACCGCCACUACUGCGGCAAGUGCGGCCUCACCUAUGUCUACAACCAGAAGGCUUAG
This 468-nucleotide ribosomal RNA is filed under the name Triticum aestivum (bread wheat). RNAcentral describes it as "partial small subunit ribosomal RNA". Lineage: Eukaryota; Viridiplantae; Streptophyta; Magnoliopsida; Poales; Poaceae. The record is from RNAcentral.